RNAcentral lists this transfer RNA (63 nucleotides) under Fukomys damarensis (Damara mole-rat). It matches the Rfam family "tRNA". From Rfam's summary of the family: Transfer RNA (tRNA) molecules are approximately 80 nucleotides in length. Their secondary structure includes four short double-helical elements and three loops (D, anti-codon, and T loops). Further hydrogen bonds mediate the characteristic L-shaped molecular structure. tRNAs have two regions of fundamental functional importance: the anti-codon, which is responsible for specific mRNA codon recognition, and the 3' end, to which the tRNAs corresponding amino acid is attached (by aminoacyl-tRNA synthetases). tRNAs cope with the degeneracy of the genetic code in two manners: having more than one tRNA (with a specific anti-codon) for a particular amino acid; and 'wobble' base-pairing, i.e. permitting non-standard base-pairing at the 3rd anti-codon position. The record is from Rfam by way of RNAcentral. Lineage: Eukaryota; Metazoa; Chordata; Mammalia; Rodentia; Bathyergidae.
GGGGAUGUGGCUCAGUGGCACAGCACUUGCCUGGCAUGCGUGAGACCCUGGCCUCCAUCCCCA